This is a non-coding RNA of Penaeus vannamei (Pacific white shrimp), 319 nucleotides long. The record is from RefSeq and is a predicted model, not a curated record. NCBI's taxonomy places the organism in Eukaryota, Metazoa, Arthropoda, Malacostraca, Decapoda, Penaeidae.
CCACGGCACCAGCUGGAACACUGCGGCUGCUGCGAAGUCUGCCUGAGGGAAGCCGGCGAGAUAUGUGACGGUCACGAGCACAUGGACGGCAUUUGCAUAGGCUCACUGAAAUGCAAAAAGAACGUUUGUGUUUAGGACUACAGCACUGCUGAUCCUUGUGAACAGAUAAAAAACCUAAGAUAAAGGACUGGAAAUAUUCCAAUGUUGCAUCCUGCUAAUCAACAUAUUAAUGAAGAAUUGAAUACCUUAGUAUUCAUAUACAUACAAGAUGGAAAACCACAUACUGCACACUGAAAUACAAGAAUUACCUUUAUAGCAA